This 283-nucleotide small RNA is filed under the name Thiothrix nivea DSM 5205. RNAcentral's name for it is "5' ureB small RNA". It matches the Rfam family "5' ureB small RNA". The record is from Rfam by way of RNAcentral. Lineage: Bacteria; Pseudomonadati; Pseudomonadota; Gammaproteobacteria; Thiotrichales; Thiotrichaceae.
CGUCUUCCACUUGCUGCGGGCAGAUGAAAUGGAUGUGGGAAUCGAUCCCGCCCGCUGUGAGGAUGUGGCCUUCGCCCGCGAUGGCUUCGGUGCCGGGGCCGACCAGGAUGUUGACACCUGCCUGCGUAUCCGGGUUACCUGCUUUACCGAUGCCGGUAAUGCGCCCAUGUUUGAUGCCGAUGUCUGCCUUGACGAUACCCCAGUGAUCGAGGAUCAGGGCGUUGGUAAUCACCACAUCGACGACUUCCGUAUCAUGACGUUGGCAUUGCCCCAUGCCGUCGCG